Molecule: small RNA, 628 nt
Filed under: Pan troglodytes (chimpanzee)
Lineage: Eukaryota; Metazoa; Chordata; Mammalia; Primates; Hominidae
Description: retained intron
Source: RNAcentral
CCCGAACCCUCGUGUGAAGGGUGCAGUACCUAAGCCGGAGCGGGGUAGAGGUGGGCCGGCACCCCCUUCUGACCUCCGGUGCCGCCGGCCUCGAGAUCAGACAUGGCCCAGAACUUGAAGGACUUGGCGGGGCGGCUGCCCGCCGGGCCCCGGGGCAUGGGCACGGCCCUGAAGCUGUUGCUGGGGGCCGGCGCCGUGGCCUACGGUGUGCGCGAAUCUGUGUUCACCGGUGAGCAACCUCCGCCCGCUCGCCGGACGCUUCCAGUCCCUCCCCCAAACCCCUUGCCCUGUCCCCGCGCCCCUCCACGAGCCUAGCAUUUCCUCUGAGCAGCGGCCUGGCCUGAUCACCACCCAUCUCCCCACAGUGGAAGGCGGGCACAGAGCCAUCUUCUUCAAUCGGAUCGGUGGAGUGCAGCAGGACACUAUCCUGGCCGAGGGCCUUCACUUCAGGAUCCCUUGGUUCCAGUACCCCAUUAUCUAUGACAUUCGGGCCAGACCUCGAAAAAUCUCCUCCCCUACAGGCUCCAAAGACCUACAGAUGGUGAAUAUCUCCCUGCGAGUGUUGUCUCGACCCAAUGCUCAGGAGCUUCCUAGCAUGUACCAGCGCCUAGGGCUGGACUACGAGGAA